This 253-nucleotide ribosomal RNA is filed under the name uncultured bacterium. RNAcentral describes it as "partial 16S ribosomal RNA". It matches the Rfam family "Bacterial small subunit ribosomal RNA", at positions 524 to 776 of the family's 1533-position model. The record is from RNAcentral.
UACGUAGGGUGCGAGCGUUGUCCGGAAUUAUUGGGCGUAAAGAGCUCGUAGGCGGCUUGUCGCGUCGGAUGUGAAAGCCCGGGGCUUAACUCCGGGUCUGCAUUCGAUACGGGCAGGCUAGAGUUCGGUAGGGGAGAUCGGAAUUCCUGGUGUAGCGGUGAAAUGCGCAGAUAUCAGGAGGAACACCGGUGGCGAAGGCGGAUCUCUGGGCCGAUACUGACGCUGAGGAGCGAAAGCGUGGGGAGCAAACAGG